CGUGAAAUUGUUGAAAGGGAAACGCUUGAAGUCAGUCGCGUUGUCUGGGACUCAGCCUUGCUUCUGCAUGGUGUAUUUCCUGGUUAACGGGCCAACAUCGAUUUUGGUCGGUGGAUAAAGUCAAGAGGAAUGUGGCACCUUCGGGUGUGUUAUAGCCUCUUGUCGGAUGCAUCGACUGGGAUCGAGGAUCGCAGCACGCCUUUUUGGCCGGGGUUCGCCCACGUAACGUGCUUAGGAUGUUGGCAUAAUGGCUUUAAUCGACCCGUCUUGAAACACGGACCAAGGAGUCUAACAUGCCCGCGAGUGUUAGGGUGGAAAACCCUUGCGCGUAAUGAAAGUGAAAGUUGGGACCUCUGUCAUGGGGGGCACCGACGCCCGGCCUUGAACUUCUGUGACGGCGCCGCGGUAGAGCGUGUAUGUUGGGACCCGAAAGAUGGUGAACUAUGCCUGAAUAGGGCGAAGCCAGAGGAAACUCUGGUGGAGGCUCGUAGCGAUU
RNAcentral lists this ribosomal RNA (496 nucleotides) under Rickenella sp. RNAcentral's name for it is "LSU rRNA". It matches the Rfam family "Eukaryotic large subunit ribosomal RNA", at positions 398 to 885 of the family's 3401-position model. The record is from RNAcentral. Lineage: Eukaryota; Fungi; Basidiomycota; Agaricomycetes; Hymenochaetales; Rickenellaceae.